Molecule: long non-coding RNA, 239 nt
Filed under: Capsicum annuum
Lineage: Eukaryota; Viridiplantae; Streptophyta; Magnoliopsida; Solanales; Solanaceae
Description: long non-coding RNA (CANN_LNC006684)
Source: RNAcentral
GCCGAAGGAUACUAUUGUGAUGAUAUUGACACCCGACAAUUCCGGAGGAUACUAUAUCAAUGAUAUUGAUACCUGAUAAGUCGGAGGAUACUAUAGUGAUGCUAUUGAUACCCGACAAGGCCGUAGGAUACUACAGUGAUGCUAUUGAUAUAUGGCAAUAUCGGAGGGUACCAUUGUGAUGAUAUAGAUACCCGGUAAGGCUGUAGGAUACUAUUAUGAUAAUAUUGAUAUCUGGCAAG